CCUACGGGAGGCAGCAGUGAGGAAUAUUGGUCAAUGGACGAGAGUCUGAACCAGCCAAGUAGCGUGAAGGAUGACUGCCCUAUGGGUUGUAAACUUCUUUUAUAUGGGAAUAAAAUGUUCCACGUGUGGGCUUUUGUAUGUACCAUAUGAAUAAGGAUCGGCUAACUCCGUGCCAGCAGCCGCGGUAAUACGGAGGAUCCGAGCGUUAUCCGGAUUUAUUGGGUUUAAAGGGAGCGUAGGUGGAUUGUUAAGUCAGUUGUAAAAGUUUGCGGCUCAACCGUAAAAUUGCAGUUGAAACUGGCAGUCUUGAGUACAGUAGAGGUGGGCGGAAUUCGGGGUGUAGCGGUGAAAUGCUUAGAUAUCACGAAGAACUCCGAUUGCGAAGGCAGUUCACUGGACUGCAACUGACACUGAGGCUCGAAAGUGUGGGUAUCAAACAGGAUUAGUACCCGUGUAGUC
Molecule: ribosomal RNA, 459 nt
Filed under: uncultured bacterium
Lineage: Bacteria
Description: partial 16S ribosomal RNA
Rfam family: Bacterial small subunit ribosomal RNA
Source: RNAcentral